RNAcentral lists this ribosomal RNA (500 nucleotides) under uncultured bacterium. RNAcentral's name for it is "partial 16S ribosomal RNA". It matches the Rfam family "Bacterial small subunit ribosomal RNA", at positions 30 to 523 of the family's 1533-position model. The record is from RNAcentral.
AUUGAACGCUGGCGGCAUGCUUUACACAUGCAAGUCGAACGGUAACAGGGUGCUUGCACCGCUGACGAGUGGCGAACGGGUGAGUAAUGCGUCGGAACGUGCCGAGUAGUGGGGGAUAACGCAGCGAAAGUUGUGCUAAUACCGCAUACGUACUGAGGUAGAAAGUGGGGGACCUUCGGGCCUCACGCUAUUCGAGCGGCCGACGUCUGAUUAGCUAGUAGGUGAGGUAAAGGCUCACCUAGGCGGCGAUCAGUAGCGGGUCUGAGAGGAUGAUCCGCCACACUGGGAGUGAGACACGGCACAGAAUCCUACGGGAGGCAGCAGUGGGGAAUUUUGGACAAUGGGCGAAAGCCUGAUCCAGCCAUGCCGCGUGUCUGAAGAAGGCCUUCGGGUUGUAAAGGACUUUUGUCAGGGAGGAAAUCCCUAGUGCUAAUAACACUGGGGGAUGACAGUACCUGAAGAAUAAGCACCGGCUAACUACGUGCCAGCCGCCGCCGUAA